RNAcentral lists this ribosomal RNA (104 nucleotides) under Moraxella sp. RCAD0137. Its description in RNAcentral is "partial 23S ribosomal RNA". The stretch from base 1 to 92 matches the Rfam family "Bacterial large subunit ribosomal RNA", at positions 2834 to 2925 of the family's 2925-position model. Lineage: Bacteria; Pseudomonadati; Pseudomonadota; Gammaproteobacteria; Moraxellales; Moraxellaceae. The record is from RNAcentral.
GCCGUUGUAGACUACGACGUUGAUAGGUUGGGUGUGGAAGUGUAGUGAUACAUGUAGCUAACCAAUACUAAUUGCUCGUUUGGCUUGACCAUACAACACCCAAG